UACAGGGGGUGCAAACGUUGCUCGGAAUUAUUGGGCGUAAAGCGCACGUAGGCGGUUCGUUAUGUCAGAUGUGAAAGCCCUUGGCUCAACUGAGGAAGUGCAUCUGAAACUGGCGAGCUAGAGUAUGUAAGAGGGUCGCGGAAUUCCCGGUGUAGAGGUGAAAUUCGUAGAUAUCUGGAGGAACACCGGUGGCGAAGGCGGCAUCCUGGACCGGUAUUGACGCUGAGGCGCGAAAGCCAGGGGAGCAAACGGG
RNAcentral lists this ribosomal RNA (253 nucleotides) under uncultured bacterium. RNAcentral's name for it is "partial 16S ribosomal RNA". It matches the Rfam family "Bacterial small subunit ribosomal RNA", at positions 524 to 776 of the family's 1533-position model. The record is from RNAcentral.